AAUCUGGGGCUCAACCCCAGACCUGCAUCCGAUACGGUCGAGCUAGAGUUUGGUAGGGGAGACUGGAAUUCCUGGUGUAGCGGUGGAAUGCGCAGAUAUCAGGAGGAACACCAAUGGCGAAGGCAGGUCUCUGGGCCAAUACUGACACUGAGGAGCGAAAGCGUGGGGAGCGAACAGGAUUAGAUACCCUGGUAGUCCACGCCGUAAACGGUGGGCGCUAGUUGUGGGAACCUUCCACGGUUUCUGCGACGCAGCUAACGCAUUAAGCGCCCCGCCUGGGGAGUACGAUCGCAAGAUUAAAACUCAAAGGAAUUGACGGGGCCCCGCACAAGCAGCGGAGCAUGCGGCUUAAUUCGACGCAACGCGAAGAACCUUACCAAGGCUUGACAUAUACAGGAAUAUGGCAGAGAUGUCAUAGCGGUAAAACGUCUGUAUACAGGUGGUGCAUGGUUGUCGUCAGCUCGUGUCGUGAGAUGUUGGGUUAAGUCCCGCAACGAGCGCAACCCUCGUUCUGUGUUGCCAGCAUUUAGUUGGGGACUCACAGGAGACUGCCGGGGUUAACUCGGAGGAAGGUGGGGAUGACGUCAAAUCAUCAUGCCCCUUAUGUCUUGGGCUGCACGCAUGCUACAAUGGCUGGUACAAAGGGCUGCAAUACUGCAAAGUGGAGCGAAUCCCAAAAAGCCAGUCUCAGUUCGGAUUGGGGUCUGCAACUCGACCCCAUGAAGUCGGAGUUGCUAGUAAUCGUAGAUCAGCAACGCUACGGUGAAUACGUUCCCGGGGCUUGUACACACCGCCCGUCACAUCACGAAAGUCGGUAACACCCAAAGUCAGUGGCCCAACCGCAAGGAGGGAGCUGCCAAAGGUGGGAUCGGUGAUUGGGAUG
This 883-nucleotide ribosomal RNA is filed under the name uncultured Actinomycetales bacterium. Its description in RNAcentral is "bacterial SSU rRNA". It matches the Rfam family "Bacterial small subunit ribosomal RNA", at positions 599 to 1482 of the family's 1533-position model. Lineage: Bacteria; Bacillati; Actinomycetota; Actinomycetes; Actinomycetales. The record is from RNAcentral.